GAAACUGCACCACUGUGAUGGCAAUGUAGGACAAAGCAGAAGCGCAGCAAAGAGAUAAGGAUAUAAUUACUGCAGACAACCUUGGAGAAAAAUGGCAUCUAAGAACAAUUGUAAGGACCUUUCUGUCCUUGAAUUGCUAUCACUCUGCUAGUAAUGGAAGCCUGAGAAACCUUGAGACUACCAGCUUCUUGAAUCAGAGCUGCACUGAGUGACAUUUUCAACAUCGCUGAACAUGCCAGCAGUGAGUACUACAUUGAGAACAUCAUGGACAUGAACAGAAGAGAUAGAGAGGCAUCAGGUGGCAGCAAUAUAUGCAUAGGAAGCUGUUCAUUCCUGGGACACAGAGAGCCUAUCUGUACUUUUGUUUCCUC
Long non-coding RNA from Gallus gallus (chicken), 371 nucleotides. Lineage: Eukaryota; Metazoa; Chordata; Aves; Galliformes; Phasianidae. The record is from Ensembl.